This 68-nucleotide transfer RNA is filed under the name Heterocephalus glaber (naked mole-rat). It matches the Rfam family "tRNA". From Rfam's summary of the family: Transfer RNA (tRNA) molecules are approximately 80 nucleotides in length. Their secondary structure includes four short double-helical elements and three loops (D, anti-codon, and T loops). Lineage: Eukaryota; Metazoa; Chordata; Mammalia; Rodentia; Bathyergidae. The record is from Rfam by way of RNAcentral.
GGGGAUUUAGCUCAGUGUCAUAGCACGUGCCUUGCAAGCAUGAGGUCCUGAGUUCGAACUCUGUGCCA